RNAcentral lists this ribosomal RNA (467 nucleotides) under uncultured bacterium. Its description in RNAcentral is "partial 16S ribosomal RNA". It matches the Rfam family "Bacterial small subunit ribosomal RNA", at positions 28 to 507 of the family's 1533-position model. The record is from RNAcentral.
GACGAACGCUGGCGGCGUGCUUAACACAUGCAAGUCGAACGGAAAGGCUCCAGCUUGCUGGAGUGCUCGAGUGGCGAACGGGUGAGUAACACGUGGGCAAUCUGCCCUGCACUCUGGGAUAAGCCUGGGAAACUGGGUCUAAUACCGGAUAGGACCUUUCUCCUCAUGGGGUUUGGUGGAAAGUUUUUCGGUGCAGGAUGAGCCCGCGGCCUAUCAGCUUGUUGGUGGGGUAAUGGCCUACCAAGGCGACGACGGGUAGCCGGCCUGAGAGGGUGAUCGGCCACAUUGGGACUGAGAUACGGCCCAGACUCCUACGGGAGGCAGCAGUGGGGAAUAUUGCACAAUGGGCGAAAGCCUGAUGCAGCGACGCCGCGUGAGGGAUGACGGCCUUCGGGUUGUAAACCCCUUUCAGUAGGGACGAAGCGCAAGUGACGGUACCUGCAGAAGAAGCACCGGCUAACUACGUG